ACGUAGGGUGCAAGCGUUAAUCGAAAUUACUGGGCGUAAAGCGUGCGCAGGCGGUUCGGAAAGAAGGAUGUGAAAUCCCAGGGCUCAACCUUGGAACUGCAUUCUUAACUACCGAACUAGAGUAUGUCAGAGGGGGGUAGAAUUCCGCGUGGAGCAGUGAAAUGCGUAGAUCUGCGGAGGAAGACCGAUGGCGAAGGCAGCACACUGGGAUAAUUCUGACGCUCGUGCACUAAAGCGGGGGUAGCAAAGGG
Molecule: ribosomal RNA, 251 nt
Filed under: uncultured prokaryote
Description: partial 16S rRNA
Rfam family: Bacterial small subunit ribosomal RNA
Source: RNAcentral